Molecule: ribosomal RNA, 546 nt
Filed under: Colletotrichum gloeosporioides
Lineage: Eukaryota; Fungi; Ascomycota; Sordariomycetes; Glomerellales; Glomerellaceae
Description: eukaryotic LSU rRNA
Rfam family: 5.8S ribosomal RNA (bases 174-327)
Source: RNAcentral
GGGGAUCGAGCUCGCUCUACACCCUUUGUGACAUACCUAUAACUGUUGCUUCGGCGGGCAGGGUCUCCGUGACCCUCCCGGCCUCCCGCCCCCGGGCGGGUCGGCGCCCGCCGGAGGAUAACCAAACUCUGAUUUAACGACGUUUCUUCUGAGUGGUACAAGCAAAUAAUCAAAACUUUUAACAACGGAUCUCUUGGUUCUGGCAUCGAUGAAGAACGCAGCGAAAUGCGAUAAGUAAUGUGAAUUGCAGAAUUCAGUGAAUCAUCGAAUCUUUGAACGCACAUUGCGCCCGCCAGCAUUCUGGCGGGCAUGCCUGUUCGAGCGUCAUUUCAACCCUCAAGCUCUGCUUGGUGUUGGGGCCCUACAGCUGAUGUAGGCCCUCAAAGGUAGUGGCGGACCCUCCCGGAGCCUCCUUUGCGUAGUAACUUUACGUCUCGCACUGGGAUCCGGAGGGACUCUUGCCGUAAAACCCCCAAUUUUCCAAAGGUUGACCUCGGAUCAGGUAGGAAUACCCGCUGAACUUAAGCAUAUCAAUAAGCGGAGGAA